Molecule: ribosomal RNA, 277 nt
Filed under: uncultured Clostridiaceae bacterium
Lineage: Bacteria; Bacillati; Bacillota; Clostridia; Eubacteriales; Clostridiaceae
Description: partial 16S ribosomal RNA
Rfam family: Bacterial small subunit ribosomal RNA
Source: RNAcentral
GUGCCAGCCGCCGCGGUAAUACGUAGGGGGCAAGCGUUAUCCGGAUUUACUGGGUGUAAAGGGAGCGCAGACGGCCAAGCAAGUCUGAAGUGAAAUGCAUGGGCUCAACCCAUGAAUUGCUUUGGAAACUGUUAGGCUUGAGUGUCGGAGAGGUAAGCGGAAUUCCUAGUGUAGCGGUGAAAUGCGUAGAUAUUAGGAGGAACACCGGAGGCGAAGGCGGCUUACUGGACGACAACUGACGUUGAGGCUCGAAGGCGUGGGGAGCAAACAGGAUUAG